AAUAAACGCUGGCGGCGUGCGUAACACAUGCAAGUCGUACGAGAAAUCUUCUGCUUGCAGGAGAGAGUAAAGUGGCGUACGGGUGAGUAAUGCGUGGGUAAUCUACCCUUGAAUUCGGAAUAACAUGUCGAAAGGCGUGCUAAUACCGGAUGAGGUCAAUGCGGUUGCGGCUGUAUUGAUGAAAGGUGGCCUCUACAUGUAAGCUACUGUUUGGGGAUGAGCCUGCGUACCAUUAGCUAGUUGGUGGGGUAAAGGCCUACCAAGGCGACGAUGGUUAGCUGGUCUGAGAGGAUGAUCAGCCACACUGGAACUGGAACACGGUCCAGACUCCUACGGGUGGCAG
RNAcentral lists this ribosomal RNA (343 nucleotides) under uncultured Pseudomonadota bacterium. RNAcentral's name for it is "bacterial SSU rRNA". It matches the Rfam family "Bacterial small subunit ribosomal RNA", at positions 29 to 351 of the family's 1533-position model. Lineage: Bacteria; Pseudomonadati; Pseudomonadota. The record is from RNAcentral.